This 603-nucleotide ribosomal RNA is filed under the name uncultured fungus. RNAcentral describes it as "eukaryotic LSU rRNA". It matches the Rfam family "Eukaryotic large subunit ribosomal RNA", at positions 23 to 641 of the family's 3401-position model. Lineage: Eukaryota; Fungi. The record is from RNAcentral.
ACCCGCUGAACUUAAGCAUAUCAAUAAGCGGAGGAAAAGAAACCAACAGGGAUUGCCCUAGUAACGGCGAGUGAAGCGGCAACAGCUCAAAUUUGAAAUCUGGCGUCUUUGGCGUCCGAGUUGUAAUUUGCAGAGGGCGCUUUGGCAUUGGCAGCGGUCCAAGUUCCUUGGAACAGGACGUCACAGAGGGUGAGAAUCCCGUACGUGGUCGCUAGCCUUUACCGUGUAAAGCCCCUUCGACGAGUCGAGUUGUUUGGGAAUGCAGCUCUAAAUGGGAGGUAAAUUUCUUCUAAAGCUAAAUACUGGCCAGAGACCGAUAGCGCACAAGUAGAGUGAUCGAAAGAUGAAAAGCACUUUGGAAAGAGAGUUAAAAAGCACGUGAAAUUGUUGAAAGGGAAGCGCUUGCAGCCAGACUUGCCUGUAGUUGCUCAUCCGGGUUUUUACCCGGUGCGCUCUUCUAUAGGCAGGCCAGCAUCAGUUUGGGCGGUUGGAUAAAGGUCUCUGUCAUGUACCUCUCUUCGGGGAGAACUUAUAGGGGAGACGACAUGCAACCAGCCCGGACUGAGGUCCGCGCAUCUGCUAGGAUGCUGGCGUAAUGGCUGU